AACGCACAUUGCGCCCCUUGGUAUUCCGGGGGGCAUGCCUGUUCGAGCGUCAUCAAAACCUCUCAAGCCUGGCUUGGUGUUGGGGUCCGCGGCUUCGCGGCCCUUAAAAUCAGUGGCGGUGCCGUCUGGCUCUAAGCGUAGUAAUGCUCUCGCUACAGGGUCCAUUCGGUGGCUACCAGAACCCCCCACUUCUAAGUUUUGACCUCGGAUCAGGUAGGGAUACCCGCUGAACUUAA
This 236-nucleotide unclassified non-coding RNA is filed under the name uncultured fungus. Its description in RNAcentral is "sequence contains ITS2". Lineage: Eukaryota; Fungi. The record is from RNAcentral.